CCUACGGGAGGCUGCAGUGGGGAAUAUUGGACAAUGGGGGGAACCCUGAUCCAGCCAUGCCGCGUGUGUGAAGAAGGCCCUCGGGUUGUAAAGCACUUACAGUGAGGAAGAACGCCUGGUGGUUAAUACCCAUCAGGAAAGACAUCACUCACAGAAGAAGCACCGGCUAACUCCGUGCCAGCAGCCGCGGUAAUACGGAGGGUGCGAGCGUUAAUCGGAAUUACUGGGCGUAAAGCGCGCGUAGGUGGCUUGAUAAGCCGGUUGUGAAAGCCCCGGGCUCAACCUGGGAACGGCAUCCGGAACUGUCAAGCUAGAGUGCAGGAGAGGAAGGUAGAAUUCCCGGUGUAGCGGUGAAAUGCGUAGAGAUCGGGAGGAAUACCAGUGGCGAAGGCGGCCUUCUGGACUGACACUGACACUGAGGUGCGAAAGCGUGGGUAGCAAACAGGAUUAGAUACCCCGGUAGUC
Molecule: ribosomal RNA, 465 nt
Filed under: Vreelandella stevensii
Lineage: Bacteria; Pseudomonadati; Pseudomonadota; Gammaproteobacteria; Oceanospirillales; Halomonadaceae
Description: partial 16S ribosomal RNA
Rfam family: Bacterial small subunit ribosomal RNA
Source: RNAcentral